RNAcentral lists this ribosomal RNA (515 nucleotides) under uncultured delta proteobacterium. RNAcentral's name for it is "bacterial SSU rRNA". It matches the Rfam family "Bacterial small subunit ribosomal RNA", at positions 35 to 521 of the family's 1533-position model. The record is from RNAcentral. Lineage: Bacteria; Deltaproteobacteria.
GCUGGCGGCGUGCUUAACACAUGCAAGUCGCACGAGAACGCUUCAGCUUGCUGAAGCUAGUAAAGUGGCGCACGGGUGAGUAACGCGUGGGUAAUCUAUCUCUGAAUCGGGGAUAACAUUGCGAAAGCGAUGCUAAUACCGGAUAACAUCCAUUUAACCUCGGUUAUGUGGAUCAAAGGUGGCCUCUACAUGUAAGCUACCGUUCGGAGACGAGCCCGCGUACCAUUAGCUUGUUGGUCGGGUAAUGGCCUACCAAGGCAACGAUGGUUAGCUGGUCUGAGAGGAUGAUCAGCCACACUGGAACUGACACACGGUCCAGACUCCUACGGGAGGCAGCAGUGAGGAAUUUUGCGCAAUGGGGGAAACCCUGACGCAGCAACGCCGCGUGAGUGAUGAAGGCUUUCGGGNNGUAAAGCUCUGUCAAGUGGGAAGAACCCGUGCCGUGCAAAUAGCANGGGUGCGCUGACGGUACCACUGAAGGAAGCACCGGCUAACUCCGUGCCAGCAGCCGCGGU